GCGGAGAGUUUGAUUUGCUUAAAGAGUAGGUGACGUUGUAUUUUUAUUUUCUUUAGUAGAAGUAGCUCGGUGGUGGCUGGUUUUAAUUUAUUUUCAAGCAUUUUAAUUUUUUUUAUUUUUAUCUUGGAGAUGGAGCUGCACGAUGGACAUUUAAAUGUUCCUUUUCUUGGAGAGAGGUUACUUUAGUUUUAGCAUUGCAUUUACUUAUUUGCAUUUAUGAUUUUAUCGGUAGGAUAGAUUUCUUUUUAUUUAUUAUUCACCAAGCUUAUCUUUUUAUGCUUCCUAUGUCUUAGUUGGAACGUGGGCAGUUUUAAUUGUCGUUAGGUUUAGCAUCCUCUUUUAUUUUAAUGUUUUCAAUUAUGUUUGGUUGUAUUUAAUUUCCAGUUUUAAUUUAAUUUAAUUUUCCUUGCAAUAACACUUUCAACCCCNNN
This 431-nucleotide long non-coding RNA is filed under the name Vigna radiata. RNAcentral's name for it is "long non-coding RNA (VRAD_LNC012794)". The record is from RNAcentral. Lineage: Eukaryota; Viridiplantae; Streptophyta; Magnoliopsida; Fabales; Fabaceae.